AGGAAACACCAGCUACCUGUAAUAACACGUGACACGCACCUUUGUCAACACUCAGCACAGCUCUGCAAUAAUGGCCCAGCCUGAUCUUCACGUUGGAGGUGAGGACAUAGGCCCUGGAGGGUUCAAGUGGCAAGGUCACAGAAGUGGUCACAGGGGACCACAGCCCCCACUGCCUGGACUGCCGCAAGCUCUGGAUCUGUAACCCCUGGCUUGCUCCCCACUUGCCUGCCUGACCACAGCUUCGAGGCCUCUGAAAAGCCUGGAAAG
This 267-nucleotide long non-coding RNA is filed under the name Pongo abelii (Sumatran orangutan). Its description in RNAcentral is "lincRNA". The record is from RNAcentral. Lineage: Eukaryota; Metazoa; Chordata; Mammalia; Primates; Hominidae.